Molecule: ribosomal RNA, 253 nt
Filed under: uncultured bacterium
Lineage: Bacteria
Description: partial 16S ribosomal RNA
Rfam family: Bacterial small subunit ribosomal RNA
Source: RNAcentral
UACGAAGGGGGCUAGCGUUGCUCGGAAUCACUGGGCGUAAAGGGUGCGUAGGCGGGUCUUUAAGUCAGGGGUGAAAUCCUGGAGCUCAACUCCAGAACUGCCUUUGAUACUGAAGAUCUUGAGUUCGGGAGAGGUGAGUGGAACUGCGAGUGUAGAGGUGAAAUUCGUAGAUAUUCGCAAGAACACCAGUGGCGAAGGCGGCUCACUGGCCCGAUACUGACGCUGAGGCACGAAAGUGUGGGGAGCAAACAGG